This 433-nucleotide ribosomal RNA is filed under the name uncultured bacterium. RNAcentral's name for it is "partial 16S ribosomal RNA". It matches the Rfam family "Bacterial small subunit ribosomal RNA", at positions 29 to 507 of the family's 1533-position model. The record is from RNAcentral.
AGCGAACGCUGGCGGCAGGCCUAACACAUGCAAGUCGAACGAACUCUUCGGAGUUAGUGGCGGACGGGUGAGUAACACGUGGGAACGUGCCUUUUGGUUCGGAAUAACUCAGGGAAACUUGUGCUAAUACCGAAUGUGCCCUUCGGGGGAAAGAUUUAUCGCCAUUAGAGCGGCCCGCGUCUGAUUAGCUAGUUGGUGAGGUAACGGCUCACCAAGGCGACGAUCAGUAGCUGGUCUGAGAGGAUGGCCAGCCACACUGGGACUGAGACACGGCCCAGACUCCUACGGGAGGCAGCAGUGGGGAAUCUUGCGCAAUGGGCGAAAGCCUGACGCAGCCAUGCCGCGUGAAUGAUGAAGGUCUUAGGAUUGUAAAAUUCUUUCACCGGGGACGAUAAUGACGGUACCCGGAGAAGAAGCCCCGGCUAACUUCGUG